RNAcentral lists this transfer RNA (72 nucleotides) under Carcharhinus melanopterus (blacktip reef shark). Its description in RNAcentral is "tRNA-Val". It matches the Rfam family "tRNA". From Rfam's summary of the family: Transfer RNA (tRNA) molecules are approximately 80 nucleotides in length. Their secondary structure includes four short double-helical elements and three loops (D, anti-codon, and T loops). Lineage: Eukaryota; Metazoa; Chordata; Chondrichthyes; Carcharhiniformes; Carcharhinidae. RNAcentral also lists the same sequence under 2 other names. The record is from RNAcentral.
CAAAAUGUGGCUAAAUCAGUAAAGCACCUCCCUUACACCGAGAAGAUAUCCGCGCAAUUCGGAUCAUUUUGA